GAUGAACGCUGGCGGCGUGCCUAAUACAUGCAAGUCGAGCGAACAGACGAUGAGCUUGCUCCUUUGACGUUAGCGGCGGACGGGUGAGUAACACGUGGAUAACCUACCUAUAUUACUGGGAUAAUUUCGGGAAACCGGCUCUAAUACCGUAUAACAUGUUGCACCGCAUGGUUCAACAGUGAAAGUCGGCCUUUCUGUCACUUCUAGCUGCUUCCGCGCCGCAUUAUCUAGUUGGUAGGGUAACGGCGUACCAAGGCGACGAUGCGUAGCCGACCUGAGAGGGUGAUAGGCCACACUGGAACUGAGACACGGUCAAGACUCCUAAGGGAGGCAGCAGAAGGGAAUGGUAGGCAAUGGGCGAAAGCAUGACGGAGCAAGGCGGCGUGAGUGAAGAAGGUCUUCGGAUCGUAAAAACCUGUUAUUAGGGAAGAACAGAUGUGGAAGGAAAUGUGCACGGCUUGACGGUACCUAAUCAAAAAGCCACGGCUAACUACGUG
Molecule: ribosomal RNA, 497 nt
Filed under: uncultured bacterium
Lineage: Bacteria
Description: partial 16S ribosomal RNA
Rfam family: Bacterial small subunit ribosomal RNA
Source: RNAcentral